UACGGAGGAUGCAAGCGUUAUCCGGAAUGAUUGGGCGUAAAGCGUCCGCAGGUGGCUAUGUAAGUCUGCUGUUAAAUAGUGAGGCUCAACCUCAUAACGGCAGUGGAAACUACACGGCUAGAGUGCGUUCGGGGCAGAGGGAAUUCCUGGUGUAGCGGUGAAAUGCGUAGAGAUCAGGAAGAACACCGGUGGCGAAAGCGCUCUGCUAGGCCGCAACUGACACUGAGGGACGAAAGCUAGGGGAGCGAAUGGG
RNAcentral lists this ribosomal RNA (253 nucleotides) under uncultured bacterium. RNAcentral describes it as "partial 16S ribosomal RNA". It matches the Rfam family "Bacterial small subunit ribosomal RNA", at positions 524 to 776 of the family's 1533-position model. The record is from RNAcentral.